This 460-nucleotide ribosomal RNA is filed under the name uncultured bacterium. RNAcentral describes it as "partial 16S ribosomal RNA". It matches the Rfam family "Bacterial small subunit ribosomal RNA", at positions 338 to 795 of the family's 1533-position model. The record is from RNAcentral.
CCUACGGGCGGCAGCAGUGAGGAAUAUUGGUCAAUGGACGAGAGUCUGAACCAGCCAAGUAGCGUGAAGGAUGACUGCCCUAUGGGUUGUAAACUUCUUUUAUAUGGGAAUAAAAUGUUCCACGUGUGGGAUUUUGUAUGUACCAUAUGAAUAAGGAUCGGCUACCUCCGUGCCAGCAGCCGCGGUAAUACGGAGGAUCCGAGCGUUAUCCGGAUUUAUUGGGUUUAAAGGGAGCGUAGGUGGAUUGUUAAGUCAGUUGUGAAAGUUUGCGGCUCAACCGUAAAAUUGCAGUUGAAACUGGCAGUCUUGAGUACAGUAGAGGUGGGCGGAAUUCGGGGUGUAGCGGUGAAAUGCUUAGAUAUCACGAAGAAGUCCGAUUGCGAAGGCAGUUCACUGGACUGCAACUGACACUGAGGCUCGAAAGUGUGGGUAUCAAACAGGAUUAGAUACCCCGGUAGUC